RNA transcript from Mustela lutreola (European mink), 4899 nucleotides. It is a transcript of the gene named zinc finger DHHC-type palmitoyltransferase 2, with no coding region annotated. The transcript has 14 exons. The record is from RefSeq and is a predicted model, not a curated record. Lineage: Eukaryota; Metazoa; Chordata; Mammalia; Carnivora; Mustelidae.
CUGGCUUGGGGCUGCGGGAUGGGGAGUUAGCGCCACGGCGGCGGCAGUGGCCGCAGCGCAACCGGCCGCCGCCCCCGGGUCUGUCCCGCCGGGGGUGCGGGGCGCGGCCAGCCCGCCCCGGAGCCAGGCCCGCGGGCGGCGGCGACGGAGGAGCUGGGCAGGUGGAUGCGGCUGGAAGAUGGCGCCCUCGGGCCCGGGCAGCGUCAGGCGGCGGUGCCGGCGGGUGCUCUACUGGAUCCCGGUGGUGUUCAUCAGCCUUCUGCUCGGCUGGUCCUACUACGCCUACGCCAUCCAGCUGUGCAUAGUGUCCAUGGAAAACGUUGGGGAACAAGUUGUGUGCCUGAUUGCUUAUCAUCUACUUUUUGCAAUGUUUGUCUGGUCAUACUGGAAAACUAUCUUUACAUUACCAAUGAAUCCUUCAAAAGAAUUCCAUCUCUCUUAUGCAGAGAAAGAAUUGUUGGAGAGAGAGCCAAGAGGAGAAGCCCAUCAGGAAGUUCUUAGGCGAGCCGCCAAAGAUCUUCCCAUCUAUACCAGGACCAUGUCUGGAGCAAUCCGAUACUGUGACAGAUGCCAGCUCAUAAAACCAGACCGCUGCCAUCACUGUUCCGUCUGUGAUAAAUGUAUUUUGAAGAUGGACCAUCAUUGCCCGUGGGUGAACAAUUGUGUCGGAUUUUCAAAUUAUAAAUUUUUCCUCCUUUUCUUGGCUUAUUCUCUGCUCUACUGCCUUUUUAUUGCUGCUACAGACUUGCAGUAUUUUAUCAAAUUUUGGACAAAUGGCCUACCCGAUACUCAAGCCAAGUUCCAUAUUAUGUUUUUAUUCUUUGCUGCAGCUAUGUUUUCUGUCAGCUUGUCCUCUCUGUUUGGCUAUCAUUGUUGGCUAGUCAGCAAAAAUAAAUCUACAUUAGAGGCGUUUAGAAGUCCUGUAUUUCGACACGGAACAGAUAAGAAUGGAUUCAGCUUGGGUUUCAGUAAAAACAUGCGACAAGUUUUUGGGGAUGAAAAGAAGUACUGGUUGCUACCCAUUUUUUCAAGUCUAGGUGACGGCUGCUCCUUUCCGACUUGCCUUGUUAAUCAGGAUCCCGAGCAAGCAUCUACUCCUGCGGGAUUGAAUUCAACAUCGAAAAAUCCUGAAAACCAUCCGUUUCCUGCAAAGCCAUUGCGAGAGUCCCAGAGCCACCUUCUCACUGAUUCUCAGUCUUGGACAGAGAGCAGCACAAACCCGGGAAAAGGCAAAGCUGGUAUGAGCAAUCCUGCAUUAACCAUGGAGAAUGAGACUUAACUCUUCAAACAAAAUAAAUUCAUACUUUAUGAAAGUAUCAAUGCUGUAGGUGGAGGAAGAGGCUUCCCACAGGAAGGCACCGUUGGGCUGUUGCUCCCAUUUCCCUUUGGCUGGAUGUGCAGAAUAUGAAUUGAGUUCUUUAAAAAAUACCCUCAGGCAAACAGAGGCUGCAGAUGAGCCCAGAAUGGCUACAAAGAAUCAACUGGAGGAAAGACUGGACACACAGUAAGGCUCAAGUAUGUUUUUGUUUACGUUCUUCUCACAAGGUCUUUGCACUAGUUUAAGAUACCAGCUAACAAUGAACAGGGUUUAUUCUUAUUUAGAAAAAAGAAAACAAAGGUGACAAGUGAAAUGGGUAUCAGCUGAACCAGAACACCUUACAUUUUUACAAUGUUUUAAAUUUGACCAACCCAACCCUUUUCUGCUCCAUGUAUAUUUUCACAUAUUAGGGAUUGUUAACACAUUUGAGUAGAUUUCACUUGGACUGCACUAAGGUAGUAGUUUCUCAGCUUCUUUGAAAAUAGUCUCACUUGUAUUUCCAUACAGACUAUGAAAAGAAACCAGUGCUUUGGUCACUUCAAACUUAGCUUUGAUUUCUCAAAGAAAUACAGUAAUAGCUGGAAAGCACUAGAAUAUCUGACUGACUUAGAGCCAAGGAAAAAUACUCAAAAUCCCUUUUCAUUUUAUAAUUAACUGUCGAUGUUGUACCCAGUGGCCUCACUCUUCAACCAACUGUUCUUUCCAAAAGGCUAAGUCGUUAAAUUUUAUUUCCUCUAGACAUAAUUCUUUGGGCUACUGAUUCAGAAACCAUGACCUAAGUAUCAGUAAAUGGCUUUCUUGGCUAACAGACUUUGGUUGUAGCCUCACUUUCAUUUCUUAUUUUUGUGAAGAAAUCACGAUGUGUUAAGAUACUCCAUUUUAAAAUGUCUGUUGCUUUCCCAGUAGUUGGGCGUGUUGUGAUGAGUGCUUGGUCUGCUUAUGUCAACAUAUAUUGUGUUUUUUAGCAGUUACAGUAUCAUUCCUUGACAAACUCAGUAUUUACCAUAUAAUUUGGGUUAGAAAAUCCACAUUCCAGUGUGCCUUCAAGGCACAGCAUUCAAAGUGCAGUUUUCUUGUUUUGACAUAAUGAUCUGGUAACAGGAAAAAAAAAUGUUUUUGUACAGAUAGACAAAGCACUCUAAAUGCUUUCACAUCAUAGCUGCAUCACUGAUUGUGUCGCAUACCAAAACGGAAUGUGAAAUGCUAAGAAAGCCAUAAGCAGUUUCUGUAGCUGCUAGUCAACCUUCCUGCUGUGGUGCAAAAGUAGCCAUAGACAGUACAGAAAUGAUGAGUGUGGCUGCAUUCCAAGAAAACUUUAUUUAUGGACACUAAAAUUUGAAUUUCAUAAUUUUCACAUGUCAGGAGGUAUUAUUCUUUUGAUUUUUUUCCCCCAACCAUUUUAAAACCAUAAAAAUUGUUCUCAUCUCUCUGGCCUUACAAAGAUUGGCAGCAGCCUGGUUUGGGCCUGUAGGCUGUAGUUUGCUGACCCUUGCUCCAAGAGAUUUAAUAGAAUAAGGUGAGUCCAGAGUUAAUGGCUCAGGAGCAUUACAAAAUUAUCAGCCAAAUAUCUCAAGUCCAAAAGCUAGAUUUAGUUAAGGUCAUAAUGUUCCUCUUUUAGAAGUAAUAAAAUAGUAUUACUGCUUAAGAGACAGAAACCAAAACUGACACAAACUAAGAAACUGAGCAACUAUGUGGCUAUUCAAAAGGGAAUCUUUGUAAUUCCUAUUUUUUUAAGGAGGUGAAGAUCAAAAUAAGAAACCUAUUAGAUUAUCUGCUAUAUUGUGUCAGCUUUAAAAAGAAGCCACAGUAAGUCAUAUCAAAUGCAUUACUUUGUCUUUAAGAAUAAAUGUCUUCGUGGAAAGGAGAUAAAAAUCAAUUCUUAACAUCUAGUUGAGGUAUUCAUAAAGAAUAAGCUGACAGUGUUGAAAUGCAAAAGGCUCCAUUAGACUCAUUAUUCAACUAAUAGAAACUAGACUAUUAGCUACAGUUGAAGUUACCGAGUUAUUAAUAAUAAUACACUAACAACUAGUUACAGUUAAAGAAGUUACUGAGUUCUGUUCAGUUGCCCAAAUUAAAAAAAAUAAAAUCUCCCAAAUAAAUAUUUUUAAAACAAAAUUACCAGUCAUCAACAUAUAUAAGAAAACAUUUCUGAAGGCUUUAUUUACAAAAGCUUUAAAAACAAAUAAUACCCUCUGUUUUGCAAAUAACGUUUUGUUUAAAAAGGACCACCCAGUUACAGCAUUGUAAUAUAAUGAAUAAUGUACAAAGAAAACAAACCAGUGUGGCUAACAUUUUAAGAUUUGCUAGUAUUACUGAUUCAAAUGUAGGUGACACACAUCAUAACGUGUAGUCUAUCAUUUCAGGGAAGAGUUAAUGAUUACCAAAAUGUCUUCCUACACAUGCUCUGGUCUGGUCACAUAUUCUGCAUGGCUAAAUAUUUCAAUCUCUUUUGUCAAUAUAUAUAAAAUAGAUUGCAAAGAUAUACACAAAAAAAUAAACAAGCAUUACACUCCUCAGGUAAUUAGCUAUAUAUAUAGCCAUAUAUAUAUAUACACACACACAUAUAUGGCUUUAUAUAUAGAAUAUAUUUUUGUGUUUUGUUUUUUGCACCAAAUCUCUUCAUUAUUUAUCUUUGUAACAACUAUGAAAGCACAAUUUUUUGUCUUCUAAUUUAAUUUGGUACAAUACAUACCUAAAGACUUGCUAUCUUUGGACUUUAAUGAAAUUGAUUUGUGGAAUCAACAAAGCAAGAGCAUCGUAAGUAUGGCUAUAAAAUGUUUAAAAAAUUAAAAAUAAGGUAAACAGUGACAGAGUAAGAAGAAGCAGAUCAAAGGGAAGUGUGCUAUCAUAAAAUAAUGGCGGCUUCAAUUAUCUUGGAUGCCAGUUUCCUGGCAGACAUUAAACAUCCAAUCACAAGGGGUUUUUCCUGAAGGGUGUAAAGCUGGUUUGAAAAAUUCUUCAGUCACAGAGCAGCCUACACAUGCCAAUGAGAAACUGACAGACACUAGAUGUGCUUGGAAGAUUAAACACCACGUACAGAAACAGCAGUUACUAAGCUCUCAGUAGUUUUUUGUUCACUUUUUUUUUUUUGUAGUCUUGCUGAAUCAACCGUUUGCACAAUGCAUGUGCUAUUUCCGUGGGUCAAAAACAAGUAAAUACUUUAUAAGGUUGGCAGAUGGUCAUUUUUCCAGCUAAGAGCAAGAAAAGCCAAAAUUUCUGAUAAAACAGAGGAUUUGAGUCAGAAUCACUCUCUAAAGUGCAAAAUUGAUGGUCCACAAUCUCAAAUAGCUAAAACUCCUGCAGAAUAGAAGGGAGACAUGAAACAGGGAAAUAAAUUACAGUCAGUGCUAGUUAAUUUAGGAAGGGGGAAAAACAAACCAAGCCCAAGCAGGUGAAGUUUAUCAAAAUAUUCAGUAUGAUACGGGUUUCCCCACUCUCUGUCACACAUGCCUGCUAACAAGUAUAUUAAGUUAAGGCCAAAUUUAACCUGAAUGCUUUUCUAUUUAUUAAGAUCUGAGAUAGGAAUGGUCAUACUAGUACUGAAAGGCAGAAAAUAAAAUGGGCUAUGAAAGAAAAAAAAA